Syngnathoides biaculeatus (alligator pipefish) is the source of this 851-nucleotide long non-coding RNA. RefSeq lists it as uncharacterized. The record is from RefSeq and is a predicted model, not a curated record. The transcript has 2 exons. NCBI's taxonomy places the organism in Eukaryota, Metazoa, Chordata, Actinopteri, Syngnathiformes, Syngnathidae.
CUGUGAGCUAGGUUGGUUAGCCACUAGCUAGCUCGCGAGGUAGCUGGUUAGCCACUAGCUACCUCGCGAGCUAGCUGGAUAGCCACUAACUUGCUCGCGAGCUAGCUAGCUCUCAUCGUGGCAUAGGAAAAUGAAGUGACGAUUCGUCGGCAUAUAAGAAGCUUUCAAUUCAUGUAUUUCCACAGCUCAAACACAACAACUUGAAAGUCAGCCAACCAGCGGCUCGAUCCCAGCGUGACUACGUCAAGAUUGGUGGUGCGCAGUUCCAUUUCCAGUUUUGAGUUGAGUGAGGACGCGUGCGCCAUGCGGCCCACCAGCUGAUGCGCCUUCAGAAUCUUUGAAGUCAGACAGCAACCAAACACGACAGGCCGCAAAGGUCAACGUAAGGUGUGACACGGCCCACUGAUGAAACAGUGAGGGACCCCCCCCCCCCAACCCACACGAAAUUAGGCCAUUAGUGGGCGGAAAGCAUUUGAUAAUGGUCAAAUGUUUCCACAGGAUGUAUUAAGUUCAGUUACAUAAGGUGAAUAUUUGGAUGCUUAUAAAAGCAGUUGAUUUUUUUUUUUUUAAGUACGACAGACAUAGCUGAAUAUUUUGUUCAUAAAAGGUAAUUAGAAAUAAGCAACUUCAGUAGGUCAAUUCAAAAGCUCAUAUUCCAGUAGUCAAGUGCAGUGCUGUAUUCACAUUUGUGUAACAUCUAUAUCACAAAUCAUUUUAAUUCUUUUGUAAUAGUAAACUCAUUAAAUUCUGCAUUUAAAUUAGCUGUGAGCUACGCCAAUGAAAAUCAUUUUGACAAACUAAAUCAUGAAAUAUUUCAUCGUGCAGUGAAUAUACAAGUCGUUUUCUUCAAC